CAAUUAUUGGUGGAAAUUGUGCUCUACAGGGUUUUGAUCAUAAAGGAAACGAUCUCUUUUGGACGGUUACUGGAGAUAAUGUUCAGUCCUUGGCCUUGUGUGACUUUGAUGGUGAUGGGAAGAAAGAGCUUCUUGUUGGCUCUGAGGAUUUUGAUAUCCGAGUUUUUAAAGAAGAUGAGAUUGUGGCAGAAAUG
Molecule: long non-coding RNA, 194 nt
Organism: Talpa occidentalis (Iberian mole)
Lineage: Eukaryota; Metazoa; Chordata; Mammalia; Eulipotyphla; Talpidae
Exons: 3
Source: RefSeq, a predicted model, not a curated record